GGCGAACGCUGGCGGCGUGCUUAACACAUGCAAGUCGAACGGAAAGGCCCUGCUUUUGUGGGGUGCUCGAGUGGCGAACGGGUGAGUAACACGUGAGUAACCUGCCCCUGACUUUGGGAUAACUUCAGGAAACUGGGGCUAAUACCGGAUAGGAGCUCCUGCUGCAUGGUGGGGGUUGGAAAGUUUCGGCGGUUGGGGAUGGACUCGCGGCUUAUCAGCUUGUUGGUGGGGUAGUGGCUUACCAAGGCUUUGACGGGUAGCCGGCCUGAGAGGGUGACCGGCCACAAUGGGACUGAGAUACGGCCCAGACUCCUACGGGAGGCAGCAGUGGGGAAUAUUGCACAAUGGGCGGAAGCCUGAUGCAGCAACGCCGCGUGCGGGAUGACGGCCUUCGGGUUGUAAACCGCUUUCGCCUGUGACGAAGCGUGAGUGACGGUAAUGGGUAAAGAAGCACCGGCUAACUACGUG
This 468-nucleotide ribosomal RNA is filed under the name uncultured bacterium. RNAcentral describes it as "partial 16S ribosomal RNA". It matches the Rfam family "Bacterial small subunit ribosomal RNA", at positions 28 to 507 of the family's 1533-position model. The record is from RNAcentral.